Molecule: ribosomal RNA, 993 nt
Filed under: Tychius picirostris
Lineage: Eukaryota; Metazoa; Arthropoda; Insecta; Coleoptera; Curculionidae
Description: SSU rRNA
Rfam family: Eukaryotic small subunit ribosomal RNA
Source: RNAcentral
UUACCCACUCCCGGCACGGGGAGGUAGUGACGAAAAAUAACGAUACGGGACUCAUCCGAGGCCCCGUAAUCGGAAUGAGUACACUCUAAACCCUUUAACGAGGAUCAAUUGGAGGGCAAGUCUGGUGCCAGCAGCCGCGGUAAUUCCAGCUCCAAUAGCGUAUAUUAAAGUUGUUGCGGUUAAAAAGCUCGUAGUCGAAUUUGUGUCUCGUGCCGCCGGUUCAUCGUCCGCGGUGUUAACUGGCGAGUCGCGAGACGUCCUGCCGGUGGGCUUAGCUCGCAAGGGCGGCCCAACUCAAUCCUGCCGCGGUGCUCUUCGUUGAGUGUCGAGGUGGGCCGGCACGUUUACUUUGAACAAAUUAGAGUGCUUAAAGCAGGCUAAAACUUCGCCUGAAUACUGUGUGCAUGGAAUAAUGGAAUAGGACCUCGUUUCUAUUUUGUUGGUUUUCGGAACUCCGAGGUAAUGAUUAAUAGGAACGGAUGGGGGCAUUCGUAUUGCGACGUUAGAGGUGAAAUUCUUGGAUCGUCGCAAGACGGACAGAAGCGAAAGCAUUUGCCAAAAACGCUUUCAUUGAUCAAGAACGAAAGUUAGAGGUUCGAAGGCGAUCAGAUACCGCCCUAGUUCUAACCUUAAACGAUGCCAGCUAGCGAUCCGUCGAAGUUCCUCCGAUGACUCGACGGGCAGCUUCCGGGAAACCAAAGCUUUUGGGUUCCGGGGGAAGUAUGGUUGCAAAGCUGAAACUUAAAGGAAUUGACGGAAGGGCACCACCAGGAGUGGAGCCUGCGGCUUAAUUUGACUCAACACGGGAAACCUCACCAGGCCCGGACACCGGAAGGAUUGACAGAUUGAGAGCUCUUUCUUGAUUCGGUGGGUGGUGGUGCAUGGCCGUUCUUAGUUGGUGGAGCGAUUUGUCUGGUUAAUUCCGAUAACGAACGAGACUCUAGCCUGCUAACUAGGCGUAUUUUGACAUCCUAAAGGCCCGCCGGCUCGGGG